RNAcentral lists this ribosomal RNA (600 nucleotides) under Lepra ophthalmiza. Its description in RNAcentral is "eukaryotic LSU rRNA". The stretch from base 250 to 403 matches the Rfam family "5.8S ribosomal RNA". The record is from RNAcentral. Lineage: Eukaryota; Fungi; Ascomycota; Lecanoromycetes; Pertusariales; Pertusariaceae.
UUCUUGUUUUCCAUUUGGGAAGUAAAAGUCGUAACAAGGUUUCCGUAGGUGAACCUGCGGAAGGAUCAUUACCGAGACGUGCGGACGCCCGCUCCGGCGGGGUCGGCGCCUCCUCACCCUGUGUGUACCGCCCGCGCGGCACCCCCGCGCGCGCCGGUUGCUUCGGCGGGCUUCAGGGCCCGCCGGCGGACCCGUCCAAACUCACGUGCGAACGACCGUGCCGUCUGAGCUUAUGCGUGAAUCGAACAAAACUUUCAACAACGGAUCUCUUGGUUCUGGCAUCGAUGAAGAACGCAGCGAAAUGCGAUAAGUAAUGUGAAUUGCAGAAUUCAGUGAAUCAUCGAAUCUUUGAACGCACAUUGCGCCCCCUGGCAUUCCGGGGGGCAUACCUGUUCGAGCGUCAUGAACACCCCUCGAGCCGCGUGGCUUGGUGUUGGGCCGCCGCCCGCGACGGGCGGGCCCGAAAGUCAGUGGCGGCGCGGCUGGAUCCUCGAGCGUAGUAACUGUUUUCGCCGCUUUGGAGGACCCGACCGCUCCCGCCAGACAACCCCCGUCUCGCACCCGUUCGACCUCGGAUCAGGUAGGGAUACCCGCUGAACU